CGAUGAUGAUUUAAUGGUGUUUACUCCUUUACAGGAUUCUUGUCUUUAAAGCUGUGUGUUUUUCAAUGGUGUUGUUCAUACAUAUAGUCACUCACUUAACUUGGGCUACUUUAAAAAAAAAUACACAAGAUAAAAUUGAUGGAGAAAUGGUGGGAAUUGAAAACACGCAGGUGGAGCAGUGGAGUAACCUUGAGUUUCUCUCUCCACUUAAACCUUUCAGAGUUCCUUUAUGAGGGCUUACCAAAUCUGUUAGGCCUGCGGAAACACUGUCAUCAUUAUGUUCUAAAAGGGCUAACAGAUUAUCUUUAAAUUCUAUGAUUCCCACUUGAAAGUCAGAUGCAUUUGCCAUGUAUUUGCAUCUGUCUCAAUGGAGAUGACUCUACAGCUUGCUUGAAUUUUUGCAUUUGUUUUUUCUUUGUUUUUCUUGACAUUGCUUACAGGAAGGAAAUAUGUUUAUGCAAACCAGACCACUUAUCUGCAAAGGUGUAAACUAUAUUCAGUAUUUUAUUGUAAAUAUGUAUAUUCUUUAAGAGUAUAUAUUGUACUAGUGCUUUUUUUCUUACUGUUAUAUGAUAGAAGCUAUGAAAAAAAUGAAGAUUUCUUUCAAGCCAAUCAAGCCAACGACUCUUCAGCCAGUAUUGGAAGAUUUUGUAUUUGAUUUUGGUUUUUUGUUUUUGUUUUUUAAUUUUUACCACCAUGACAUGUAUUUUUCUUUACCUCCGGAUCCUGCCAGAGUAAUAUGUCAAGAAGCUCAAGAAGCACACUGGAGGUUACCUUGAGGCGUUUGUGUAAUCUGCAUACUAGUGGAGUAGCCAUGGUGACCGUAGCCACAUGGGUGUUCUGUUGCUGUUUUGCAGGUUCAAACCUUGUACUACUCAGCUGAUCACAAGCUGCUUGAUGGGAACCUACUAGAUGGACAGGCUGAGGUGUUUGGCAGUGAUGAUGACCACAUUCAGUUUGUGCAGAAAAAGCCACCACGUGAGAAUGGCCAUAAGCAGAUAAGUAGCAGUUCAACUGGAUGUCUCUCUUCUCCAAAUGCUACAGUACAAAGCCCUAAGCAUGAGUGGAAAAUCGUUGCUUCAGAAAAGACUUCAAAUAACACUUACUUGUGCCUGGCUGUGCUGGAUGGUAUAUUCUGUGUCAUUUUUCUUCACGGGAGAAACAGCCCACAGAGCUCACCAACAAGUACUCCAAAACUAAGUAAGAGUUUAAGCUUUGAGAUGCAACAAGAUGAGCUAAUCGAAAAGCCCAUGUCUCCUAUGCAGUACGCACGAUCUGGUCUGGGAACAGCAGAGAUGAAUGGCAAACUCAUAGCUGCAGGUGGCUAUAACAGAGAGGAAUGUCUUCGAACAGUCGAAUGCUAUAAUCCACAUACAGAUCACUGGUCCUUUCUUGCUCCCAUGAGAACACCAAGAGCCCGAUUUCAAAUGGCUGUACUCAUGGGCCAGCUCUAUGUGGUAGGUGGAUCGAAUGGCCACUCAGAUGACCUGAGUUGUGGAGAGAUGUAUGAUUCAAACAUAGAUGACUGGAUUCCUGUUCCAGAAUUGAGAACUAACCGUUGUAAUGCAGGAGUGUGUGCUCUGAAUGGAAAGUUAUACAUCGUUGGUGGCUCUGAUCCAUAUGGUCAAAAAGGACUGAAAAAUUGUGAUGUAUUUGAUCCUGUAACAAAGUUGUGGACAAGCUGUGCUCCUCUUAACAUUCGGAGACACCAGUCUGCAGUCUGUGAGCUUGGUGGUUAUUUGUACAUAAUCGGAGGUGCAGAAUCUUGGAAUUGUCUGAACACAGUAGAACGAUACAAUCCUGAAAAUAAUACCUGGACUUUAAUUGCACCCAUGAAUGUGGCUAGGCGAGGAGCUGGAGUGGCUGUUCUUAAUGGAAAACUGUUUGUAUGUGGUGGCUUUGAUGGUUCUCAUGCCAUCAGUUGUGUGGAAAUGUAUGAUCCAACUAGAAAUGAAUGGAAGAUGAUGGGAAAUAUGACUUCACCAAGGAGCAAUGCUGGGAUUGCAACUGUAGGGAACACCAUUUAUGCAGUGGGAGGAUUCGAUGGCAAUGAAUUUCUGAAUACGGUGGAAGUCUAUAACCUUGAGUCAAAUGAAUGGAGCCCCUAUACAAAGAUUUUCCAGUUUUAACAAAUUUAAGACCCUCUCAAACUAACAGGCUUAGUGAUGUAAUUAUGGUUAGUAGAGGUACACUUGUGAAUAAAGAGGGUGGGUGGGUAUAGAUGUUGCUAACAGCAACACAAAGCUUUUGCAUAUUGCAUAUUAUUAAACAUGCUGUACAUACUUUUUGUGUUUAUUUGGAAAGGAAUGCAAAGAUGAAGGUCUGUUUUGUGUACUUUUAAGACUUUGGUUAUUUUACUUUUUGGAAAAGAAUAAACCAAGAAUUGAUUGGGCACAUCAUUUCAAGAAGUCCCCUCUCCUCCACAUUUGUUUUGCCAAUUUGCACAUUAAAUGACUCUUCCCUCAAAUGUGUACUAUGGGGUAAAAGGGGUAGGGUUUAAAGAUGUAGACAGUUGGGUUUUUUAAGGGCCCUUUUUCAAUAACUGGAACACUCUAUAACAAAGGAUACUUAUUUAAAUAGAUGACAUUGACUAUUUUUGUUUUUAUUAAAAGGAAGCUUACAUGCCUACCAAUAUUUAAUCUUUUAUGAUUGCCUUUUUAUAACUUUUUAUAUUCUCAGCAGAGUGCUUUACCAAUUGAAGUAAAAUGUGGCAGGCUGGAGUUAUUGAAGCAGAAUGGCAGUCUUCAGUUUGCAGAGUAGGGGUCUGUCUUUUAAACUCUGAGUGCAAACUUCAGAGUUCUUGCCUUGGCUGCAGUUUUUUUCCUUCAAGAAUGCAGUACUAACAUUUAUUUGAGUGGAGUUACUGAACAGUAACAUAGCUGUGAUUUUUGGUAUUUGAAACACUGGUUUUAAAUAUUUUGACUUGUUGAGGGUAUGUUUUAUAUAGCAAGACAUUAUAUAGCAGUAAAAAAUGGUGUUUUAUCUUCUAUAUAAUUCCUGUUUUUAUUAUUAACAAAACAGUCCUAAAUAGCAGCCCUCAAUUGUGAAAAAAAUUACUUUAAACUACAUUAGGUUGUGAAUGCAGGUUUUAUCAGAACUAUGUUUUUGUUCAGUUUAUCUGUUCAUAUGGAUAAAUAUUGGUUGGGAUGACUUGGUGUCUAAUGUGUAGUGCUACACACCUAACUUAUGGGGCCAAAAUAGCAUGUCCUAAUGCUUGCUGCUGAUUUAAACACAUUAAAGGUACUUUGCAGGAAAUCCUUGCACCAUGGGAUUAAUAUCCAAUUGCUGCUUGUACACUCAUUCAUUACUAAAAGUAUUGAGAAAUUUUUUUUCCAGUAAUGAGCUUAAGAAAUUUGUGGAAAAUAACUCACCUGGCAUCUUACAUCUGAAAUAAGGAAUGAUAUAAGGUUUUUUUUUCUCACAGAAGAUGAAGCACACAGGAACCUAAUGGGCCAACUGGGAUGAGAUGACUAUUCUGAGAUGACUAUUCAGUGGCUAACUUGGGUUAGGAAGAAAAUAAUUAGGUAUUUUCUCCAAAUGUUCACUGGUACUCUGCCACUUUAUUUCUCUCAUCUAUUACACAAAGAAAGAACCACCAGGAAAGGAAAUCAGUUUGGUUGGUAACUCUGUAAUUCCUAACUAUCACUGGUUUGGUUCUGGACUAAAACUACAUUGACAGAUUGAAUUUGCCUAAUAUGAUGACUGUUUUUAAUAUGGAUCUGUAUGUGUUCUAUUCAGCACAAGGAAAUAAAAUUUUAGUUGAGGAUUCAGCACUAAAA
Molecule: small RNA, 3779 nt
Filed under: Pan troglodytes (chimpanzee)
Lineage: Eukaryota; Metazoa; Chordata; Mammalia; Primates; Hominidae
Description: retained intron
Source: RNAcentral